AUAAAUACUGCUUUAUUGUGCAGAAUACAAAAAUGUCGACGUUUCAGUCACAAUAGACUUUUCUCAAGACAAGUCUUGAGAAAAGUCUAUUGUGACUGAAACGUCGACAUUUUUUGUAUUCUGCACAAUAAAGCAGUAUUUAUUU
Molecule: non-coding RNA, 145 nt
Organism: Pelobates cultripes (western spadefoot toad)
Lineage: Eukaryota; Metazoa; Chordata; Amphibia; Anura; Pelobatidae
Source: the annotation of a GenBank genome assembly